RNAcentral lists this ribosomal RNA (820 nucleotides) under uncultured soil bacterium PBS-21. RNAcentral's name for it is "bacterial SSU rRNA". It matches the Rfam family "Bacterial small subunit ribosomal RNA", at positions 58 to 872 of the family's 1533-position model. The record is from RNAcentral. Lineage: Bacteria; Pseudomonadati; Spirochaetota; Spirochaetia; Spirochaetales.
CAAGUCGAACGGUAGAUGUCCUUUCGGGGACAUUGAGAGUGGCGAACGGGUGAGUAACGCGUAGGUUAUCUGCCCUCAAGCGGGGGACAACCCGGGGAAACCCGGGCUAAUACCGCAUGUGCACGGCAACGUGUAAAGAUGGCGCAAGCUGUCGUUUGAGGAUGAGCCUGCGUCCUAUUAGCUUGAUGGUGUGGUAACGGCGCACCAUGGCGAUGAUAGGUAGGCGGCCUUAACGGGUGGUCGCCCACACUGGGAUUGAGAUACGGCCCAGACUCCUACGGGAGGCAGCAGUCGAGAAUAGUCUACAAUGGACGAAAGUCUGAUAGUGCGACGCCGCGUGAACGAAGAGACCUUUCGGGGUGUAAAGUUCUUUUCUGUGCGAGCAGGGGCAUAUACAGUAAUAUGGUGUGUGUCUUGAUAUUAGUACAGGAAUAAGCCACGGCUAACUCCGUGCCAGCAGCCGCGGUAACACGGGGGUGGCAAGCGUUGUCCGGAAUUACUAGGCGUAAAGGGCAGGUAGGCGGAUCAGUAAGUCGGACGUUUAAUCCUCGGUCUUAAGCUGUGACAUGCGUUUGAUACUGUUGAUCUAGAAUGCGGCGGGGGAAGACGGAAUUCCGGGUGUAGCGGUGGAAUGCGCAGAUAUCCGGAGGAACACCGAAGGCGAAGGCAGUCUUCCAUACCGUAAUUGACGCUGAACUGCGAAGGUGUGGGGAUCAAACAGGAUUAGAUACCCUGGUAGUCCGCACAGUAAACGAUAGACACUGGGUGUUGGGGGAGAUGAAUCCUUCAGUGCCGCAGCUAACGCCGCUAAGUGUCUCGC